This 440-nucleotide ribosomal RNA is filed under the name uncultured bacterium. Its description in RNAcentral is "bacterial SSU rRNA". It matches the Rfam family "Bacterial small subunit ribosomal RNA", at positions 339 to 796 of the family's 1533-position model. The record is from RNAcentral.
CUACGGGAGGCAGCAGUGGGGAAUAUUGGACAAUGGGCGCAAGCCUGAUCCAGCAAUGCCGCGUGAGUGAUGAAGGCCUUCGGGUUGUAAAGCUCUUUCGCCCACGACGAUGAUGACGGUAGUGGGAGAAGAAGCCCCGGCUAACUUCGUGCCAGCAGCCGCGGUAAUACGAAGGGGGCUAGCGUUGUUCGGAAUGACUGGGCGUAAAGGGCGCGUAGGCGGCGCAUCAAGUCGGGCGUGAAAGCCCCGGGCUCAACCUGGGAACUGCGUUCGAGACUGGUGUGCUGGAGUUCGGGAGAGGAGAGUGGAAUUCCCAGUGUAGAGGUGAAAUUCGUAGAUAUUGGGAAGAACACCGAUGGCGAAGGCAGCUCUCUGGACCGAUACUGACGCUGAGGCGCGAAAGCGUGGGGAGCAAACAGGAUUAGAUACCCUUGUAGUCC